Molecule: ribosomal RNA, 488 nt
Filed under: Culex quinquefasciatus (southern house mosquito)
Lineage: Eukaryota; Metazoa; Arthropoda; Insecta; Diptera; Culicidae
Description: partial 16S ribosomal RNA
Rfam family: Bacterial large subunit ribosomal RNA
Source: RNAcentral
CCCACUGAUAUAAAUUAAAGGGCCGCAGUAUUUUGACUGUGCGAAGGUAGCAUAAUCACUAGUCUUUUAAUUGGAGGCUUGUAUGAAUGGUUGAAUGAGAUAUAUACUGUCUUUUUUAAAAUUAUAUAGAAUUUUAUUUUUUAAUUAAAAAGUUAAAAUAAAAUUAAAGGACGAGAAGACCCUAUAGAUCUUUAUUUUUGUUAUUUAUAAAUUAAAAAGAAUUUUAAAAUUUAUAAUUUAAUAAAAAAUUUUAUUGGGGUGAUAUUAAAAUUUAAAAAACUUUUAAAAUUUAUUAACAUAAAUAUAUGAAUAAAUGAUCCAGUUUUAUUGAUUAAAAAUUUAAGUUACCUUAGGGAUAACAGCGUAAUUUUUUUUUAGAGUUCAUAUCGACAAAAAAGAUUGCGACCUCGAUGUUGGAUUAAGAGUUAUUUUUAGGUGUAGAAGUUUAAAGUUUAGGUCUGUUCGACCUUUGAAUUCUUACAUGAUCU